Molecule: long non-coding RNA, 920 nt
Organism: Myotis myotis
Lineage: Eukaryota; Metazoa; Chordata; Mammalia; Chiroptera; Vespertilionidae
Exons: 6
Source: RefSeq, a predicted model, not a curated record
GCAGUGGCAACAGUGCAGAAUACACGUUGAAGAUGAUAAUGACACUAAAGUCAAGGGAUCUCCCAGUCAUCACUUGGAGGAGCACCAAGCAAUCCAUAUUGAUCUUUCAGGACCCCAGCUAACUUUGGCCCGCUGACAUCACAGAUAUACUGAAUGGAUGCAAGGAUUAAGGCAAAGCCGCGUGGGGAUGAGAAAACUGAUUAUCAGGGAGUUGUGAAAUCAUCAUCAAAUAAUGUUUGCCCAGGAAAGGUGGCUGAUCUAUGCAACAUUUGUGCACAUCUCUGUUUGGACCUGCAACCUCUGAAGUACUUCACAGUUAUUUAAGAUUUUGAGACUGUGAUUGACUGUCAGUAACUGUAAUGGCAGAAAGGAAACCAUGCAUCAGGGGGUCUACUGUACUUGGUUCAGCUACUGGACAACUUUUAUGUACGUUCGGAACCACUUGGGCAUUGGAUGCUGGGGUGAGCCACGCACUGCCUAUAAAAGAGGAUAGAGGCACCUGAAUGGUCUGAAAUAACCGAUUGAUCAAGACAUCGCUUUUCCCUGACAUAUCCAGGUGUCACAAUAUUCAUGUAAUUAUGACCAUCAGGCACACCUUCACAUUGGCAAUGGAGGGAAUCCCCUUGGAAGUCAGAGCCAUCCUUGAAACUCACCCAUCAGGCCCUUACACCAGCAGAUGGGAGACCGAAGCCUGGACGACAGUCACCACCAAGCUGCCCUAUCCCUGGCUCCCACUUGGACUCUCCAGACAAGAGAUUCUUAUCUAUCAAAGGGACUACAUUUGAUGAGACAAACACUGGGUUAGAUGCAUGGGGGACUCAAAAUGCAAAAGUAUAAAGUUGAGAACAGCUCUUUGCUUAUAGUUCUUUGAAUAUAGGUUUACAGUUGUGAGUACAUAAAAUACUGAGUUAAUAAAGCAA